RNA transcript from Alnus glutinosa, 1282 nucleotides. It is a transcript of the gene named UPF0603 protein At1g54780, chloroplastic, with no coding region annotated. NCBI's taxonomy places the organism in Eukaryota, Viridiplantae, Streptophyta, Magnoliopsida, Fagales, Betulaceae. The record is from RefSeq and is a predicted model, not a curated record. The transcript is spliced from 4 exons.
UCCAAACCCAACAGAAAACAGAAACAAAAAAAGCGUGGUAUCAAAUCCCUCCUUUGCUCUUUCACUCUCCCUCCCCCUCAUGCUUCCCCAUUUGUGAACCUCCCUGGUUGCUUUCUUCCAUGGAAACCAUUCUCUCUCCUCGCUCUCUCUCCCCUCUCUUCAAUCCCAAACCUUCCUGUCCAAAGACCCUUUCCUCCUCCUCUAUCCAACCCAGAUCAUCAAAUUCUCUUUUUCUUACCAAAUCCAUUACUUGUAGUCUCAAAAAACACCAACCCCAAUCACUAAGUUCAUCUUUACCAACACCCACAAGCUGGCUUUCACAUGCCCAAAAAGGACUGGCAGCUCUAGCUAUCACUCUAGCACUCAAUUUUAGCCCACUCUUGCCUAGUGGCAAUGCAUUAGCAUCUGAAUUUGAUGUGAUUAAUGAGGGGCCACCUAAAGAAACAUAUGUUGUUGACGAUGCAGGCGUGCUUAGUCGGGUGACAAAAUCGGAUUUGAAGAGGUUGUUGACGGAUUUGGAGUCAAGGAAGAACUUCCGCAUUAAUUUCGUCAUUGUUCGAAAACUAACCAGCAAAGCUGAUGCCUUUGAGUAUGCUGACCAAGUUUUGGAGCGUUGGUAUCCCACAGUAGAAGAGGGCAGUAAUAAGGGCAUUGUCGUGCUUGUUACCAGUCAAAAGGAAGGGGCAGUCACAGGGGGCCCUGCAUUUGUCCAGGCUGUUGGAGAAAAUAUUCUUGAUGCCACUGUUACAGAAAAUCUUCCUGUCUUGGCUACAGAAGAAAAGUACAAUGAAGCUGUUUAUAGCAGUGCCAAGCGACUAGUUGCUGCCAUUGAUGGGCUCCCAGAUCCUGGUGGACCCUCGGUUAAAGACAAUAAACGUGAAUCCAACUUCAAAUCCAGGGAAGAGACAGAAGAGAAGCGGGGGCAAUUCUCUCUUGUAGUUGGAGGUUUAUUAGUGAUUGCCUUUGUUGUUCCUAUGGCACAAUACUAUGCUUAUGUCUCCAGGAAGUAACAAUAGAUUUGUCUUCAAAUUAUUUCCCUUAAAUUUCACAAAUCAUGUAUAACAUGCUGUUGUACAAAUCAUCAUGUUAGAAUGGUUGAUCAGAAACUCACAAUCGGUGAGUUUUGGUUAAUAUGUUAAUGAUGUGUUGGACUUGUCUCUUAGUCCAACUUCAGGGGACAAUAUAGUUGAAAAGGGUUCAAGAGAGAGAGUAUAGUUUUGGCCAUAAUGAAUCAUGAAGACUUAAUCAAUGAAAGCAAUUACUCAUAUAUUAAAAUCAUGAA